Molecule: ribosomal RNA, 679 nt
Filed under: Cryptosporidium sp. CRB28
Lineage: Eukaryota; Apicomplexa; Conoidasida; Eucoccidiorida; Cryptosporidiidae
Description: SSU rRNA
Rfam family: Eukaryotic small subunit ribosomal RNA
Source: RNAcentral
UUUACGGAUCACAUUAUGUGACAUAUCAUUCAAGUUUCUGACCUAUCAGAAAAAAGACGGUAGGGUAUUGGCCUACCGUGGCUAUGACGGGUAACGGGGAAUUAGGGUUCGAUUCCGGAGAGGGAGCCUGAGAAACGGCUACCACAUCUAAGGAAGGCAGCAGGCGCGCAAAUUACCCAAUCCUAAUACAGGGAGGUAGUGACAAGAAAUAACAAUACAGAGCCUUACGGUUUUGUAAUUGGAAUGAGUUAAGUAUAAACCCCUUAACAAGUAUCAAUUGGAGGGCAAGUCUGGUGCCAGCAGCCGCGGUAAUUCCAGCUCCAAUAGCGUAUAUUAAAGUUGUUGCAGUUAAAAAGCUCGUAGUUAAUUUUCUGUUAAUUUUUAUAUACAAUACUACGGUAUUUAUAUAAUAUUAACAUAAUUCAUAUUACUUUUUAGUAUAUGAAACUUUACUUUGAGAAAAUUAGAGUGCUUAAAGCAGGCUAUUGCCUUGAAUACUCCAGCAUGGAAUAAUAUUAAGGAUUUUUAUUCUUCUUAUUGGUUCUAGAAUAAAAAUAAUGAUUAAUAGGGACAGUUGGGGGCAUUUGUAUUUUAACAGUCAGAGGUGAAAUUCUUAGAUUUGUUAAAGACAAACUACUGCGAAAGCAUUUUGCCAAGGAUGUUUUCAUUAAUCAAGAAC